This 1964-nucleotide long non-coding RNA is filed under the name Homo sapiens (human). RNAcentral's name for it is "HSALNT0361604". Lineage: Eukaryota; Metazoa; Chordata; Mammalia; Primates; Hominidae. The record is from RNAcentral.
AUGCCAGAGGCUCUAUUUCCUAGCAUUUUACAGCUCCUAUAACUGUAGAAUGGUUGUAGGUCACAGGUAUAACCAAUGAAAACACAACCUAAGAUACAAAUCAGGAGCUACUGAUGCAAAGAAUGGGGACCAGGAGGAAGAGUUUCUUCGAGACCUGGUGGUUGAAGAGCAGUGGAUCAUUCUUGGCUGUGGUGGGAGAGGUGCUGAACGUUGUUCACGCUGGCUAUGUCAUGAGUGGAAUCUAUGGCGUCAAGGCUAGAGCUGGAGGGAAUGGGCUCCCCAUUGAGGUGAUGGACUUCAUCCCUGGUGCUAUUCAAGCAGUGGCUGUGGGCUUCCAGUCAGGGAUGCAGUGAAUGAGCCUCUUAUACCAGAGAAGGAUGGAUAGAGAAAAGCAUCAUUACAAAAGUGAAAUGUGUGAAUUUUAUUCUGGCUUUGAACAUUGAGUAGACGAAGAAGACAAUUCCAGACGGAGGAAACUCCACAAGAAAUAUCAUGGAAAUUUGAAAGAACACAGUGGGCUUGGGAAGAGAGAUCUCAGUGGUGGAAGCACCAUCAUCCCAAGGAGACUUAGGGUGCUUCCAAGACCAAGAUAACCAGGCAAUCAUAGUAGAUGCAUCAAUGCACCCUUGCCCAAGGGCCUAGACAAGAGGUAUUGUUUAGCUUCGCAUGAAUUUUAUCACCUUGCCUAGAACCAGCCACCAUCUGCCAGGGCUCCUGACUUUUUCUGAAAUGAAUAGACACUAAAGCCUGCUGGGGAAUUUCAUGGAAAUCAAGAUGACUCAACCCAGAGUCCAUUUCAAGGCUAGGAUGCUAGAGGACGCCAACAAAGGAGUAGGGAAGUGAAACGGAUCAGCUCACAUCCAAGCCCUUGCAUGAUCAAUCCUGCAGUAGGAGUGCUGCUCAGUUGGGACUCAUGAGAGCCCGGAAGAGGAAAAAGCAGCUCUAAGCAUAGCAAAGAAGCUGUUAUGGAAAAGACCCAAAUGUUAAAAUGGUGGACAUAGUAAAGUGAUUGGUUCUGCUUAGGGGAAUCUAGAUCCCCACAUUUUGACCUCCACUGGAGUCUCAGAAGAACAAGUGCCAGGGGGGCUUGCCACAGAGGCCAAGGCAGUGAAUGUCAGGCACAUCACAGUCCCCAAGAUGGGGAGAAGACUGAGAUGCAGGGUAACAACUGCAAUCCAUUCAUGGGAGCCAUGUUUAUCUUAAAUCAUUGACAGUGAGAUAAGGAUCAUGUCAGCCUUCAUACCUUUGAUGAUGAUCCCAGGCUGCAACAGUGACACAUAGAACUGGAUUCAGUAACUAACUACAGAUUCCAUCAACCAGGACUAGUAAAGUGAAAGGCAGAAAUUGGGAGGAGGGGUUUCUUUCUUGCUUAUAAAACUUUAUUUGGUUGUGUUGAGUAUGUGCAUGUAUGUAUGAAAUCCCAUAAAGCAGUCUUCUUAGGAACAAGCCAACAUGCCACAAUGUAGGAGAUCUUUGGAGCACUGGCCUAAAUGGCAGAGAGCUCAAGGGACUCUGCUUUGUACAAGGCAUGAUUUGUACCACCACCACUAUCCCUGUUUCAGAGCACUGUUGAAUUGUUCCAAACCUGGAUUUCUAUGUCAGCUCCCUGUCUAUAGUACUUGACUGAUAAAUGCUAGUUUCUGAAAUCUGCUUUGGUUCUAUAAUUUAUUAGACAGCUUUUUCUUCCCAUUUUAUUACUUGUUUUUACUGUCAUUGGUAUAUUAUCUCUUACAGUGAAAACAUUCAUAGGCUGAUUGAAGAGAAGAUCUGAAAUUAUUAGGCAGCAAGCAUACAAAACCCUUGCUUUAUAAAGAUAAUAUCUUAAAGGCCUAAUGUCUAUGGUUCAAAGCAGCCUGGAGAUGUUGGCUAAAUCUUCCAUCAUAGAGUCCUCAUGGGAUCUGGAAGCUCUGAUUUAUCUUCCUUCAGGCCCUAUAAGUUAGCUUUCCACAUCUGUAGGUUCCACA